AGUGAACGCUGGCGGUAGGCCUAACACAUGCAAGUCGAACGGCAGCACAGUAAGAGCUUGCUCUUACGGGUGGCGAGUGGCGGACGGGUGAGGAAUACCUCGGAAUCUACUUUUUCGUGGGGGAUAACGUAGGGAAACUUACGCUAAUACCGCAUACGACCUACGGGUGAAAGCAGGGGAUCUUCGGACCUUACGCGAUUGAAUGAGCCGAUGUCGGAUUAGCUAGUUGGCGGGGUAAAGGCCCACCAAGGCGACGAUCCGUAGCUGGUCUGAGAGGAUGAUCAGCCACACUGGAACUGAGACACGGUCCAGACUCCUGCGGGAGGCAGCAGUGGGGAAUAUUGGACAAUGGGCGCAAGCCUGAUCCAGCCAUACCGCGUGGGUGAAGAAGGCCUUCGGGUUGUAAAGCCCUUUUGUUGGGAAAGAAAAGCAGCAGGUUAAUACCCCGCUGUUCUGACGGUACCCAAAGAAUAAGCACCGGCUAACUUCGUG
This 492-nucleotide ribosomal RNA is filed under the name uncultured bacterium. Its description in RNAcentral is "partial 16S ribosomal RNA". It matches the Rfam family "Bacterial small subunit ribosomal RNA", at positions 29 to 507 of the family's 1533-position model. The record is from RNAcentral.